Molecule: ribosomal RNA, 486 nt
Filed under: uncultured marine bacterium
Lineage: Bacteria
Description: bacterial SSU rRNA
Rfam family: Bacterial small subunit ribosomal RNA
Source: RNAcentral
UAACACAUGCAAGUCGAGGGGCAGCGGGGAAAAGCUUGCUUUUCCGCCGGCGACCGGCGCACGGGUGCGCACCGCGUAUGGAAUGCCUUGUACAGGGGAAUAGCCCAGGGAAACUUGGAUUAAUGCCCCGUAGUACCGUAUUUCGGCAUCGUUAUACGGUUAAAGCCUUCGGGCGGUACAAGAUGGCCAUGCGUCCCAUUAGCUUGUUGGUAAGGUAACGGCUUACCAAGGCUACGAUGGGUAGGGGCCCUGAGAGGGGGAUCCCCCACACUGGUACUGAGACACGGACCAGACUCCUACGGGAGGCAGCAGUGAGGAAUAUUGGACAAUGGAGGAGACUCUGAUCCAGCCAUGCCGCGUGCAGGAAGAAUGCCCUAUGGGUAGUAAACUGCUUUUAUACGGGAAGAAAAAGAGCUACGUGUAGCUUACUGACGGUACCGUAAGAAUAAGGACCGGCUAACUCCGUGCCAGCAGCCGCGGUAAUAC